This is a long non-coding RNA of Vombatus ursinus (common wombat), 434 nucleotides long. RefSeq lists it as uncharacterized. The transcript has 2 exons. Lineage: Eukaryota; Metazoa; Chordata; Mammalia; Diprotodontia; Vombatidae. The record is from RefSeq and is a predicted model, not a curated record.
CGCGGCGCCGGCGGCUACGUGCCCAGCGACUCCGUCUUCAUGGCCCGGCGUGGCCGUCAGGCGAGGAUAACCUGUGGCCAAGGCCGGAAACUUCUGGAUGAAGAUGGAGCAUACCGGUCCUGAGGGCUCACAGCGGUCAGCCUCCUGGAUCACUCCCCCAUGCCCUUGGCCCAAAGUCAUGGGUCCACGUUCCUUCCUCUAGUUGAGUCACUGACUGGAACGUGCCUGAUGUCUCCACAGGAGGCCAGUGUCCUCCAGAGAUGGAGGCUGCCCCAGGCUACCCUGAGGGGGCGAUGGUUUUCCUUCAGCAUCUCCUGUGAGGCACCCUUUGGAAGGGCCAAGGAUGGAGCUCGAUUCUCGAUCUGUCUGUCAUAUUGCUUGUGGGAGGUGGCCGACUUCUCUCACUGCCAAUAAAGAAACGUGAGGGCACAGUA